AACGAACGCUGGCGGCAUGCCUAACACAUGCAAGUCGAACGAGACCUUCGGGUCUAGUGGCGCACGGGUGCGUAACGCGUGGGAACCUGCCUUUAGGUUCGGAAUAACUCAGAGAAUUUUGAGCUAAUACCGGAUGAUGUCUUCCGACCAAAGAUUUAUCGCCUUUAGAUGGGCCGGCGUUGGAUUAGCUAGUUGGUGGGGUAAAGGCCUACCAAUGCAACGAUCCAUAGCUGGUCUGAGAGGAUGAUCAGCGACACUGGGGGUGGGAAACGGCCCAGAAUACUACAGGAGGGAGGAAUGGGGGAUAUAGGAAAAUGGGGGGAGGGCUGAACCAGCAAGGACGGGUGAGUGAUGAAGGCCGGAAGGAUGGGAAGCAAGUUUACCCGAGGUGGUAAUGACAGUACCGGGAGAAUAAGCACCGGCUAACUCCGUG
This 433-nucleotide ribosomal RNA is filed under the name uncultured bacterium. Its description in RNAcentral is "partial 16S ribosomal RNA". It matches the Rfam family "Bacterial small subunit ribosomal RNA", at positions 29 to 507 of the family's 1533-position model. The record is from RNAcentral.